Molecule: long non-coding RNA, 1856 nt
Organism: Phacochoerus africanus (Common warthog)
Lineage: Eukaryota; Metazoa; Chordata; Mammalia; Artiodactyla; Suidae
Exons: 3
Source: RefSeq, a predicted model, not a curated record
GAAAAAACAAAAAUCUUUAAAAAAAAAAAACACACCAAAAAAACUCCAAUGACCUCAUUUUCUGGAUAAGGGACUGGGCCCAAAGAGGUUGUGAACUGGGCAGGAUCGCUUGGGUAGGUCGCAGCGGAAGUGAAACUGUCGCCCAGACCUCAGGUUUCUGACUCGGGUCCAUUCGUCUAGUACCUGAGAGGAAGGGGUGGAAGGAGCAGUUAUCACCGAUAACUUGAAAGGGCGAAAUGCAAAUGAAAACCAGAAAAAACGCUCCACAGGAAACUGAGAAGACUCUGAAAAUCAGUCCACGUGGCCUCCGUGACAAGCUGAUAGAACCCGAGGCAGCUGAGCGGCAGAGGGCUAGUUCUGCAGGGGGACCGGCCAGGGCAAACCCGGACUGCUCCACUGCCAAGUCCUGGGGCAUGGGGGCAACUCUCCAGAACUGUCUGGGCCUCAGUUUCCGCAAUCAUGAAAUGGGGGUAACAGGAGUAUCACCCUCAUCUAGCAUUUUGUGAAGGUCAAAAAAACCAUGAUCCAUGGCAAGAGCUUUCUUAGCACAAGGCCUGGAGCAAAAAUACUUGGUGAUCUCAAGAGCUUUUUCACCCUGGAGUCUUAGGACAUCAGAUAACCUGCUCUAGGUGGGAUGAAUCCAGAACUGGAAAGGGAGACUGAUUUCAGCUUUCGGGACUGCAACUGCUUUGCUCCGGAACUCUCAGCACCCAUGGCAUGAAGAAAUUCCUGGGCCAGGCAUCAAACCCGAGCCACAGCUGCUACCCAGGCCAUGGCAGUGACAAUGCCCGAUCCUUAACCCGCUAUGCAACCCUAUAUACUUUUCAGACCAUCUCAAACGCCUUUUCCUCACAUCAAUUCUCUAAGCCUUCUAUUGCCUCAGGGUAUCUAUUCUGAUCAAGUCCUUUGUUGGUUCUGAGUUUGAAAAAAAAAAAUCUUCACUUGGGCAUAUAGGUAUGAAAAUGUGAUGCUGUAGACGCCUGGACAGUGUCUGUGUCUAAGAGAAAAACAUCAGAGGAAGCUGGGGCUGGGUAUUUGGGAGGAGCUAGAGACUCUUCUUCUGGCUCCUGGUCAUUCUCCUUCACGAAGCCUUCUUUUUUUGUGGGCUGCUGAGUCUGGACCCCUAUUUUCAAGGCAUAGUUCUGCUUGACAAGGAGACAGCACAGGUUUUCAGCCAAGAAAAAUCCUCCAUUGAUCAUCUGGAACUGGUUUUCAUUUCCUUCCAGGAGAAUUCUUCCCACAGAGAGGAUGUGUUCAGUUGCUUACUGUCCCCACAAAGGUCCCCUCUCCUCCCCACCCCUGACCUUCUGCUCCGGGCAGAUAGGGACCGAUGCCAGGGACAGCAGCUAUCAGCACCACCACGGGCUUCUCUACGAUGACUUUUCACAGGGCUCUUUUUCAUCCUUUUAUCAUGAGUGUCUUUCCCCGGCCCUCGCCAUCAAGUGGUAUUUUUCUUUUUUUUUUUAAGGUUUAAAGAAAAAUGGAAUAGAAAGAACAGAGAGCUCCCAUGUAUGUCCCAGGCCACACCCCGUGGUUUCCCCCCUAUGACUAACAUCUUGCCUCGUGUGGUCCACUUGUUACAAGUGAUGAACCAAUACUGAUACAUGACUCUGCAUGAGGUCCACCGUUUACAAGGAACUCAUUCCUUGUGUGGGCCCGUCUGUAGAUUUUGCCCAAUGUAUAAAGUCAGGCAUCCACCAUUAGAAGAGUUUCACGGUCUGAAAUAUCCUCUGUGGGGUACCAGCCCCUGGCAAGCACUGACCUUUUCACCAUCUACAUAGCUUUGCUUCUUCCCGAAUGUCACAGAGUUAGACGCAUGACAUUUCAGACUGGCUUCUUCCGCUUAAAAAUAUGGA